ACUGAGGGAAACAGAUAAGGGAACGCAUGAAAACAAAAGUGUUCCUUUCUUCUUUUCCAGGUUUCUUCACAAGCUUUGUAUCGCACUGUGGGUGAAGUGCUGGAAAUAAAUAA
This is a long non-coding RNA of Haliotis rubra (blacklip abalone), 113 nucleotides long. RefSeq lists it as uncharacterized. The record is from RefSeq and is a predicted model, not a curated record. Lineage: Eukaryota; Metazoa; Mollusca; Gastropoda; Lepetellida; Haliotidae. The transcript has 3 exons.